Molecule: ribosomal RNA, 497 nt
Filed under: uncultured bacterium
Lineage: Bacteria
Description: partial 16S ribosomal RNA
Rfam family: Bacterial small subunit ribosomal RNA
Source: RNAcentral
GAUGAACGCUGGCGGCGUGCCUAAUACAUGCAAGUCGAGCGAACAGACGAGGAGCUUGCUCCUCUGACGUUAGCGGCGGACGGGUGAGUAACACGUGGAUAACCUACCUAUAAGACUGGGAUAACUUCGGGAAACCGGAGCUAAUACCGGAUAAUAUAUUGAACCGCAUGGUUCAAUAGUGCAAGACGGCUUUGCUGUCACUUAUAGAUGGAUCCGCGCCGGAUUAGCUAGUUGGUAAGGUAACGGCUUACCAAGGCAACGAUGCGUAGCCGACCUGAGAGGGUGAUCGGCCACACUGGAACUGAGACACGGUCCAGACUCCUACGGGAGGCAGCAGUAGGGAAUCUUCGGCAAUGGGCGAAAGCCUGACGGAGCAACGCCGCGUGAGUGAUGAAGGUCUUCGGAUCGUAAAGCUCUGUUGUUAGGGAAGAACAAAUGUGUAAGUAACUAUGCACGUCUUGACGGUACCUAAUCAGAAAGCCACGGCUAACUACGUG